GGCUCAGAUUGAACGCUGGCGGCAUGCUUUACACAUGCAAGUCGAACGGCAGCACGGGGCAACCUGGUGGCGAGUGGCGAACGGGUGAGUAAUACAUCGGAACGUGCCCAAUCGUGGGGGAUAACGUAGCGAAAGUUACGCUAAUACCGCAUACGAUCUACGGAUGAAAGCGGGGGAUCGCAAGACCUCGCGCGAAUGGAGCGGCCGAUGUCAGAUUAGGUAGUUGGUGGGUAAAAGCUCACCAAGCCAACGAUCUGUAGCUGGUCUGAGAGGACGACCAGCCACACUGGAACUGAGACACGGUCCAGACUCCUACGGGAGGCAGCAGUGGGGAAUUUUGGACAAUGGGCGCAAGCCUGAUCCAGCCAUUCCGCGUGCAGGAUGAAGGCCUUCGGGUUGUAAACUGCUUUUGUACGGAACGAAACGGUCUGCCCUAAUACGGUGGGCUAAUGACGGUACCGUAAGAAUAAGCACCGGCUAACUACGUG
Molecule: ribosomal RNA, 488 nt
Filed under: uncultured bacterium
Lineage: Bacteria
Description: bacterial SSU rRNA
Rfam family: Bacterial small subunit ribosomal RNA
Source: RNAcentral